UGGCCUCGGAUCAGGUGGGGAUACCCGCUGAACUUAAGCAUAUCAAUAAGCGGAGGA
RNAcentral lists this ribosomal RNA (57 nucleotides) under Fraxinicola fraxini. Its description in RNAcentral is "partial large subunit ribosomal RNA". It matches the Rfam family "Eukaryotic large subunit ribosomal RNA", at positions 1 to 57 of the family's 3401-position model. The record is from RNAcentral. Lineage: Eukaryota; Fungi; Ascomycota; Dothideomycetes; Venturiales; Venturiaceae.